Molecule: ribosomal RNA, 459 nt
Filed under: uncultured bacterium
Lineage: Bacteria
Description: partial 16S ribosomal RNA
Rfam family: Bacterial small subunit ribosomal RNA
Source: RNAcentral
CCUACGGGAGGCUGCAGUGAGGAAUAUUGGUCAAUGGGCGUAAGCCUGAACCAGCCAAGUCGCGUGAGGGAUGAAGGUUCUAUGGAUUGUAAACCUCUUUUGUCAGGGAGCAAAGGGCGCCACGUGUGGCGUUUUGCGAGUACCUGAAGAAAAAGCAUCGGCUAACUCCGUGCCAGCAGCCGCGGUAAUACGGAGGAUGCGAGCGUUAUCCGGAUUUAUUGGGUUUAAAGGGUGCGCAGGCGGAAUGUCAAGUCAGCGGUAAAAUUUCGGGGCUCAACCCCGUCGUGCCGUUGAAACUGGCGUUCUUGAGUGAGCGAGAAGUAUGCGGAAUGCGUGGUGUAGCGGUGAAAUGCAUAGAUAUCACGCAGAACUCCGAUUGCGAAGGCAGCAUACCGGCGCUCAACUGACGCUCAUGCACGAAAGCGUGGGUAUCGAACAGGAUUAGAUACCCGGGUAGUC